This 2379-nucleotide long non-coding RNA is filed under the name Homo sapiens (human). RNAcentral's name for it is "HSALNT0290876". Lineage: Eukaryota; Metazoa; Chordata; Mammalia; Primates; Hominidae. The record is from RNAcentral.
CACAAGCAGUCGGACUCUCCAGGGGUCUGGAUCUCUCCCUUGCUGCCUUGAAGGCCCCUGCACAGGCUGUGGCACUGGCUGAGUACAGGUGCCUGAAGGCAGAGGCAUGGAUGGGAUGCUUCAUUCUCAGCCUGUUUUUGCCAGUGAAGACAAAAGGGAAGUCAUCUUCCGUUGGUCUAUGGGGACCCUGAGGUAGUAGGAGCUCGGUGAUAAUUCUAGGGACCACCCUGGGUUGUCAGGUGGGGGAGACAGAGAAGCCCACAUAGGAGGCACCAAAUGCAACUCACUCGUGCCCUUUUACUCAUGAGAGAACACGGAUCCAGAGAUGUCAAGUGACUCAGACACAGUCUCACAGCACACAGGCGGCAGAGGCAGGUAGGGGACUGGGCUUCCCUGGCAGCAGUCCCCAAGCCUGCCUGAGAGGCACAUCAGAAUCGCUUUAGGGGAUUUGCAAAACCACACCUGCCCAGGCCCAAACCCUAGAGAUUCUGAUUCCGCAGUCUGAGGUAGGAAUGGAGAAUCCUCCACAGCCUGAGGUAGGAACUGGGAAUCCAGUGUUUAAAACUCUCUAGGGGCGGUGAUUUCAGAAAACCUGCUGGCUCCAUCACACUUUGCUCAGGGACUGAGAUGGGAUGGCAUUUGGAAGACACAGCUGAAAUUUAGCAUCAUAUUCCAUGGCGAUUUUCCACCAGUGGAAAUCACAGGUGUUCUCUGGUAUCACAGCGGGGUCAGGGAUGACCUGAAAUAUUGUUCAUGCUCAUCACAACUGCAUGGCCCACCGCGGGGUCUUGUCACUCAGUGAGUUCUUGAAGAGGCACAGACAAAUGGAGUUCAACAAAUGGAAAACAACUGCCUUUAAUUAGCUCCGAGGACUACAAAGGGAACAACGUUAUAAUAGCAGCAACUCCAAGGAAGCAGCCACAGCUCUCAGCUCUCAGACCUGGGGCUGCCGCUCAUCAUCAGCUACAGCUAGGUUUGAUGGGAGUGCCCCCAUUUCAGGGGACAGCAGGCCCCCUUCACUCCCCGACUCAGUCCCCAUCUGCAGCAGCACAGCCUUCCUUGGCCUCACCAGGGAAGAAGAACAGGCCCCGCUCUCAGACAAGCCUUCCCAGAAGCCUGAGGACUCAAACACCCAAAUGUGUCUGGGUCCCUGCCCCGAGCCGGCCACCCAGGCAGCAGCCCUGAAUCACUCGGUCAGCCAGCGGCAGGGCAGGCCAAUGGGCUGGAGGGUAGGCAGGCAGGCAGACCCACCUCUGCAUCUCUGCUGACUGCCUCGGCUGAGGAAAGGCAGCACCAGCCCCCAACCCUGAAGUUCUAGAUCUCAUGCAGCCUCUCUGUUCUGGAACCAUCCAGAGGCACUGCCCUUAUACAUGGUCCACCCCCAGGCUCAGACAAUGAGAAUUCCACAAGCAGAGGGGACUCUAUUUGGGGCACAGAGAGGUUAAGUAACUCCCCUCCUAAGGUCUCUCAGCAAGGAAGCCACUGAGCCGUGGGACUUGAGCUCAGGGACUCUUGAUCCCCAGUCUCAGGUGUCACAGCCCCAUCUGGGCUCCUGCUAGGGAGGAGGAAGGCAGCAGGGGGUGUCUGAGGCCAGGGUGCAUCAGCCCUAAAUGCCAGACAGAGGCAGGAGAAGUCUCCCCAUGAGUCCCAGCCCCAUUAGAGGCUCCAGGUCGGGGAUCCCAGACCCCCUAUCCUUGCUGGGAGACACAACCCAGAACUCUGCAUCCCUGCAGCCACCAAAAAAGGCAAAAGCUGCCCAGAAACACUUUCUCCUCUUCCGUGGCCAAAUCCACGAACUUUCUCGAGGUCUGUCCCCCUGCCCCGUGCAGGUCCAGCUUCAGUGCAGCCCAGCUCUGUGCAGUUUUCCACAAAAGCCUGUGGCUUCCUUCUCCUCCCUCUGCUUCUGAUACCCCAGGAGUUACACACAAAAUGUUGGCGGUGGUCUCCAGGAAGACCCCUGCAUCCCACAGCUCUCCCCAGAAGUUGCCAGCAGUGACCUCCUGAGCCCAGGUGGGGAGUCCCAGGCAGGACAGGGGCUGGGGCUGCAGGCCCUGGGGCCCUGUUAGUGAAGCAGCAAGCCGAGGGUCCCUGAGAGUUUCCCUUGGCCCCUCUGAGGGCUGCCCUUUGAGGUCUUGAGGUCUUGGAGUAUCCAUCGCCCCCACGGCUUACUGUCCCCACCAGCGGAGGAUGAAAGUGCCACAGCGAUGUUCCACGCCAAGAGACCACAGAGACCACCAACCCCUCUUCCCACCUCAGGCUUUCAGAGGCCAGCGGAUUUAGGCGGACAGGCUGUGCGCUUGAGGGCAGCCAGGGCGGUCAGUGGAGGGACGUGGUCCGGGGCCUGGCCACAGCUCCCCACCCAGGGCCCUGGGCUAUUGU